GCAGCGGGGUCUGAACAAGACUAUUAUGCGGAAACAACAUUUAUUCGUUCUUGAAAGGAAUGUGUCAUGAGGACCUACUGCACGCUCACAGGUUGGCAUUUCAGCGUUUCAAGGUCUUUUGCCUGUGGGUAUGGUGGGAACAGGUGAAGGAGCUGUGCUGAUGCCGUUGAAGGCAUAUUCUCAAGAUGCUGAUGUGAUUCCUCAACACGAUAUCAAUGAGAAAAUGACCAAGAGCAGGAGGAAGAAGAGGACGAAAUGGCAGUUUCUCAGAGCCUUUUCCCCA
Molecule: long non-coding RNA, 283 nt
Organism: Eubalaena glacialis (North Atlantic right whale)
Lineage: Eukaryota; Metazoa; Chordata; Mammalia; Artiodactyla; Balaenidae
Exons: 3
Source: RefSeq, a predicted model, not a curated record